AGAAUGGAUGAAGAGGACUACCCACCCCCUCCUCCUCGCUUCAGCCGAGGCGAAAAGAAACAAAAAAAACACGCACGGAAAGAACAAGAUAAGUUUCAUUCAACAAAACUUGGCGGCCCCCGGGGCCUCGGUCACUCACCUCCCGCAGUCGCCCCUUCUCCCCGUACCGCCAGCCUUCUCCGGGAAGAGGGCGGGUGGGGUGAGAAACCGGGUAAAGUUGGGGGGGGGGGGGGCGUUGCCUGCCUCUGUGGUCACGACCGGUUCGUUCCGAGUGAGUAAGAUGCCGGCCUCCGGGAUGGUCUACACCGCCAUGUUAACCCGAGUGCGAGCGGGAGGGAGCGGCUCUUUAUAGCAGCCGGGAGAGAGGGAGGAGCGGCCUCUCCGUGUCCUGUGGGUGGGAACGAUGAAGAUCUCUCCCUCUCAGACAGACAGUGCUCAUUGACUCAGAGAAAAGGAGAGACAGCCUUUCCCUUCCUCCUCUCCGAAACUGUGUAAACCAUCACACUGGCAUUUGUCAGGAACGAGCGGCGGAAGCAUAAAGUCAGUGCGAGAAUAAUACACACACACACCUGCUCUAACCACAUUCAGCGCCAACUGGGAAUAUCCCCAGCUCCAACAUUAUUUCACCGUUAAAGGCAGUGUAGAAAUAUUGCACGUUGUUGUGCUAGCUGUUGCAUCCUAGCCACUGACCUUAUUUGCAAACAUCGACUCCAGUCAUUCCAUUGACGCCAGGAUCAAAAAUAUAUCAAACGGCAGCCGCCAUUCCAGCUACAUGGGCUCUACAUUCUUAAAGCAAAAGAAUAAAUAUGCUAUAAAUAAUCAUGCUACAAAUGAUCACUAAUCGUGGCUCCAGACGUAUGGUACUACUACGCUCAUGCCAUAGCAGAACGAUCAUCUCACAAAUGAAUGAACGAGGAGAAGCUGCAAUGGGAAUAAACUGGAGAGAAAAAGACAUGCCAGAGCAUUGUUGCCUGAUGGAGAAGAAGGCAUUGACUAUUAUGGGAGGCAGUCGACAUUGACACUGCUGAAUCUACUGAAGAUGUCAAUAUCUUUAUUCCUGACCCACUGAACAACUUCAUCCCCAUCUUACUUCUCAUAUUGACUGCACCUGAUGAAGAAGCAGCAGUUAUCCUACACAAACGUGGAAAGAUACCAUCACACAGAAGACAUUCAGGAGAAACAAGUGUGUCAGGUGGUCAGAUGAAAGAGACAUUGAAGAUUGAGCUGGAAGAAGAGGUAGACUCUUCUGCAAGCAAAUUUUAUAUGAUUUGAUUAGCUAACAUCAUUGAAACCAAUUAGAAACUGUGUUCUCAUACUUAGAGGAAGGACAAUGGGAAGAUCUUGUAGUUUAUCUACCAUUGACCUAUUUUCAUUUUCUGCAAGUCUUAUGCAAUCUACUAACAUUUGACCGUAUGGUUCUUCAGGUUUGAUCGUAUGUUGAGGUAUUCUGACUACAUGUAUUACAAUAUGUUUUACAAAACUACACAACAUCUUCAUGAAGUCUUAGCCAUGUAAAAUAUCUGUUCAUCCAAUGCCUUAAAUUUUCCAUUUCAUAAGGGUCCUGUUAUAAGGCAUUUCUUGUGCUAGUUGCAAUAUCUCCUUCCAAUAUCUGGGCAUACCAUUAUUUGAUGAACAACUGUCUAUUCUUCAUCUAUAGGUUGUGAGAAUGUCUCUACUUCCUUAUCAAAACUCAUUUUUUAUAUUAUAAAUCCAGAACUCGUUCAGCUUAGCUGCAAUGUGAACUGUCUGUGCUUCCUGAGCCUCAAUUAAUAAAAACACAUCAAACAUAUCUUUUGAAUUAUCCUCAUUAUCAAAGAGAGCUUUGACUGCCCUACCAUUACUGCGACCUGUAACGAUAGUGUUUGUUUAGCCAUUGCUGUUGGUCACCACAUGAGAAAAAAAACAGCUGGAAUCUUCUCACAAGUGUUCCAUCUCUUGAGCCUCAUUGAAACUUCCCAUGAUACAAUGACAAAGUUAUAACUUCAUUCCAGUCAAGUUAUUCCCAAGAAAUAAAUCCACUCCAUCCACAGAUAGUUUCUUAACUACCCUGAGUAUUAUUAGUCCAGAUAAAUCACAUUCUAAUCAGACUUUGUACAAGGGGACUGAGAUAUACUCCCCACUCCAAGCACAUAACCUCACAUUUUCCCACAUUAUACUCCAUUAGCCAAGUUUUUACCCAUUCAAUUAACCUGUUUAUAUCCCUCUGCAGACUCUGUUUCAUCUUCAGCACAUGCAUUGCCACUUGUUAUUGGGCCAUCCACAAAUUUGGCUCAAGUACAUUCACUUUCCUCAUCCAAGUCAAAUAGCCAUGACUGCAACACUGAUCCUUUCGGUAAUGUACCAGUUACAGGUAUCCGGGAAAUGCCCCCUUUACCUGAACUCUGUCUUGUAUUAGUAAGCCACUACUCUAUCCAAGAUAACGCACUACCAACAGCAUAGGUUCUUACAUUAUGAAGUAACCUAAAUAUGUAGUACAUUAUCAAAUCCUUCUGGAAUUCAAAUGUAACAAAUCUGCUGGAUUCCCUUUGCCAGGGUUGGUUGACUUGCCAAGCUGGUUCGUUGUUCUGCUUCAUCAGAGGCUGCACUGAUGGUGUUGCCCAGCAGGGUAAUGAAACAUCUGUGGAACAACAACAAACCAGGUUGGCAGGCCAACCAACCUCAACAUCCACAACCCAAGCUACAAAUCUACUCCAAAACCUUAGGGAUCCCCUUUAUUUAACCUACUUGUAACCUCUUCAAAGAAUGCUACCAAAAUAUAUCAUUUCAGAACUACAUUGGCUAGGAAAUUCCCAGCACACAGGAUGUGAGGAUGUGUGCAACCUAGGUAUGAAGUAGAGAAUAAAUAACCUCAAGUAUCCUCGCUAAUUGCCCAACACUGUUGAGAUACACAACCUAUAUUUGGUCUAUGUUUAUCCUUUGUGCUUUUCAUUCAAAUAUCACUAUUUAGAACACACCUAUAUUCGCAGUGUGGGUUUCUAAAAUUUGAGACAGUUUUGCUGGGAACGGUAAAGAUGAGAAUUUACCCCAUGUUUUUGAAGCAUAAUGUUAUCAUCCAAGUAAUUUACAGCCCCUGAUACAUUCUGUGAUCUGAAGGUAACAGAGAAUGGGUUGAGGAAAGUGUUAAUCUUAAUUCUGUUUCUGCAUAGCAAAUUUCCAGAGACGGAUUACUGCUCUAAAAGACAUUUGUUGACAGUGGUUUACUUCUUCACUGCCUGAUGUUCGGUGCUGCUCUCUGCCAACUUUUAUUGGGUACUUUGCUAAGCAUCUGAUUGGAGUUUAAAAUGAGAUGUUGCAUAAUCCCACAGCUAUCUUUAUUUAAUUCUGCAGUUCUUUCUAAAAUAACCCAAAAUGUAAAAAUAAUCUAGCUUCUAAUUGCAUUUAAUUAGUAAGCUAGAAUCAUGGAAAACUGAUGUUUUUGUUUGUUUCGCCUUGGACUGGUCAGUCAACUUUGUGGACAUGACUAACAUAAUGAGGGUCCAAAUACGACAGUAUUUUGCAAUCUUUGUGAUGCCCCAAAAGGCUGACUACAACUCCCAAUACAUCAGAGUUCAACAACAACAGUUUGGUAAUCCAAUGGAAUUAUAGUGUAUUUACAGCUCCGUGUUAUUUUGAGUAGUACUUCAGAAUUAAAUGAAAUAAAUUGUGCAUCACUGUUUCUAAUAACCUAUUGUUUUGGCCCAAGGCAUGGCCUGUAUUUUUGUGGUAGGGCAACAAUGUCAUUGAGACUUUUUUCUAUUUUUGUUUUAAUUCCUGUGACGCCAACUAUCUUGCUUCCUUUGGCCUGGCUGGGAAAUCUGACUUCCAGAGGCAUUUAUUCAUUAAGGGAGUCAAAGCUUAUUAACAAGUAAGAAGGGCAGUGUUGUAUUAGCAAUUUACUUCAGUUUUGAUGAUGUUCCUCAUUACCGUUUCCAAAGUUCCUCUUCUGUCGGAGUCUGGGUGUAACAUAACAUUCCUCAAUAGAUUUUCUUUAAAACCUUAUAAGGCAUCUUGGAAAUGGUCAGUUUCCAGUGACAUUUGCUGACUGUUGAGGAAAUUUCUCAUUUGAUGGUUACAACAUUGCAGCCAGUUUUACCAUAUCCCUCAAAUAAUAUAUCUCUUGCCUUUCUUUCAACUGAAUUUUGUUCUCACAUCCAAUCCCCAUUCAAUGUGGUUUCUUCCUCUCCCAUUCUAACAAAUUGAUCUUCAAACAAGAUACUUUUUUCCUUUGGAUUUUCUAAAAACAAUAGCUACAUAGGAAAGUUGAUGCCCUGUCUAACUCACUAAGAACGUACAGCAUUUGAUUUGACAUUGAACUAGUCACACCAAAAAAUGUCCUGGUGUUCACUGAUAAAACAGCCUUAUUCACAUGAAAAUGAGAUUUAACUUGCCUGCUAGCAAGUGACAAGUGGCUGCCAGUCUUGGAAAGGUUGGCUACUGGGUGGCAUGAAAGUGAAGGUGGGAAGGGUGUCUUUUGAUCACAUGGAGGGAAGUCAGAUGGGGAGGAAAACAGCCUAGGGCAAAAAAGGCAAAAAGCUUUCCUGUGGACCCCAGAGAAGUGAAAAACUUACCUGGAGGCCUUUUCAGCUAAUUGAUCCAUCAAACAGGUUUCCCCUCUUAGGCUAAAUUUAAAAUUGCUGCAGAGGCUGAAUGACAUUGGGCCUUGAGUUACAACUAUGAGCUAGCACUGCACUGACUUUGGAUGCAUCAAGAUCACCCAGCUACCCCGGCACUCCUGACCAAAGGAAGUUCCUAGCAGCAUCAGACAGUACACACUUUCUGAUUCACAGAAGUAAGUAUAACCACUCUCUGCAUUUGACUGUAA
Long non-coding RNA from Stegostoma tigrinum, 4801 nucleotides. RefSeq lists it as uncharacterized. The record is from RefSeq and is a predicted model, not a curated record. The transcript has 3 exons. NCBI's taxonomy places the organism in Eukaryota, Metazoa, Chordata, Chondrichthyes, Orectolobiformes, Stegostomatidae.